GAUGAACGCUGGCGGCGUGCUUAAUACAUGCAAGUCGAGCGGACGGACGAGAAUCUUGCGUGGUUGAUGUUAGGGGCGGAGGGGUGAGUAACACGUGGAUAAUCUACCUAUAAGACUGGGAUAACUUCGAGAAACCGGAUCAAAUACCGGAUAAUAUUUUGAACCGCAUGGUUCAAUAGUAAAAUACGGUCUUGCGGUCACUUAUCGAUGGAUCCGCGCUGCAUUAGCUAGUUGGUAAGGUAACGGCUUACCAAGGCGACGCUGCAUAGCCGACCUGUGAGGGUGAUCGCCCACCCUGGAGCUGAGCCACCGUCCUGACGCCUACGGGAGGCCGCAGUAGGGAACCUUCCGCAGCGGGCGAGAGCAUGACGGAGCAGCGCCGCGUCAGUGACGGAGGUCUUCGGUUCGUAAAACUCUCUUAUUAGUGAAGAACAGAUGUGUCAGUAACUGUGCACAUCUUGACGGUACCUAAUCAGAAAGCAACGGCUAACUACGUG
Molecule: ribosomal RNA, 497 nt
Filed under: uncultured bacterium
Lineage: Bacteria
Description: partial 16S ribosomal RNA
Rfam family: Bacterial small subunit ribosomal RNA
Source: RNAcentral